This 217-nucleotide long non-coding RNA is filed under the name Anas platyrhynchos (mallard). RNAcentral describes it as "lncRNA (ENSAPLG00020009448.1)". The record is from RNAcentral. Lineage: Eukaryota; Metazoa; Chordata; Aves; Anseriformes; Anatidae.
AUGGCUGGAGUGAGCAGGGAGCACGGCUCUGCUGUCAUACAACCCCUCUCAAUCCCCUUAAUUUUGGCUGAGGAAGGACCCAAGCCUUCGCUUCAAAGUCCCAAAUUUACCUUAAAUUCAGCUCGGAGAAUGCCUGCGGGAUGCAGCCGGAGCCUCCUGAGCCGUGUUACGCAGGGAAAUGGUGGAGAAGCAACCCACAGGCAGGUUUUUUUGCUCA